CUGGGUUGGACAAAAAAAUUGCUCAGGUUUUCCCAUGAGAUGUUCUGGAAAAACCCGAAUGAACUUUUGGGCCAAGCCAA
Bos grunniens (domestic yak) is the source of this 80-nucleotide microRNA precursor. NCBI's taxonomy places the organism in Eukaryota, Metazoa, Chordata, Mammalia, Artiodactyla, Bovidae. The record is from Ensembl.